Long non-coding RNA from Heterocephalus glaber (naked mole-rat), 433 nucleotides. RefSeq lists it as uncharacterized. Lineage: Eukaryota; Metazoa; Chordata; Mammalia; Rodentia; Bathyergidae. The record is from RefSeq and is a predicted model, not a curated record.
CACAAAGCAAGCCCUCAGACGAACUGCUAAGGAGAGACUCUGUCCCUCACAUGCUGUGCUACACUUAGCUUGGAUCUCUAACGAUAUUUUCUUCGUCUUCGGGAUCCUUCUCCGCCUUCAUAACGCUUGGAAAGUAUCUUCCUUUGCUGCGCAACACUUGAGGGCAGCCCCAAGUCAGGAAGAAAAGGAAAUAAAAAGAAGGGGGAACCUGUGAUGAACAACAGAAGCCAUGGAAGAAGCUGUCCCCGUUCAGGAGACGGGUUUUGUGUCCCCUAGUGGACAAGAGCUGUCCUGUGACCCCCCCAACCAUCUGUGACUUCAUCUGCGCCUGCUCUUGCUCCCACUAUCAUCACUGUUUCCCAAGAGCCCUAAGCAAACUCCUGCCAUUGCUGUCCUGUCCCCUGUACCUUAUAAAGUUCUUUACUCACUUUCA